Molecule: ribosomal RNA, 600 nt
Filed under: Eucatops sp. IBE AF220
Lineage: Eukaryota; Metazoa; Arthropoda; Insecta; Coleoptera; Leiodidae
Description: bacterial SSU rRNA
Rfam family: Eukaryotic small subunit ribosomal RNA
Source: RNAcentral
AGUCAUAUGCUUGUCUCAAAGAUUAAGCCAUGCAUGUCUAAGUACAAACGAAAGUAAUGUGAAACCGCGAAAGGCUCAUUAAAUCAGUUAUGGUUCCUUAGAUUGUACCCACGUUACUUGGAUAACUGUGGUAAUUCUAGAGCUAAUACAUGCUUACAGAACUCCGACCUGAAGGGGAAGGUGUGCUCUUAUUAGUCUUAAAACCAAUAGGCGUCGGGUUCGCCCGGCGCCGUUCAAAUUGAUGAACCUGAAUAACUAUUGCAGAUCGCACGGUCCAGUACCGGCGACGUGUCUUUCAAAUGUCUGCCUUAUCAACUGUCGAUGGUAGGUUCUGCGCCUACCAUGGUUGUAACGGGUAACGGGGAAUCAGGGUUCGAUUCCGGAGAGGGAGCCUGAGAAACGGCUACCACAUCCAAGGAAGGCAGCAGGCGCGCAAAUUACCCACUCCCGGCACGGGGAGGUAGUGACGAAAAAUAACGAUACGGGACUCAUCCGAGGCCCCGUAAUCGGAAUGAGUACACUUUAAAUCCUUUAACGAGGAUCAACUGGAGGGCAAGUCCGGUGCCAGCAGCCGCGGUAAUUCCUGCUCCGGUAGCGUAU